RNAcentral lists this long non-coding RNA (12214 nucleotides) under Olea europaea (common olive). Its description in RNAcentral is "long non-coding RNA (OEUR_LNC002111)". Lineage: Eukaryota; Viridiplantae; Streptophyta; Magnoliopsida; Lamiales; Oleaceae. The record is from RNAcentral.
ACAUAACUAAACAUGGCCAUGCAAAAGAGAUGAAGGGGCUGCUGUUUAUGAGGCGCAUCGUAAUGGUUGCACCACUGGUUUGACCACCGUGGCGGGUUAACGUACCUCCACCACCAUUUCCAGUACGGCUGCCUGCACUACUGCCACCACCACCCCUUGCUCCACCUCCGCCGAUGCCAUCUCCGCCACUACCACCACUGCCGCCUCCAUCCCCUCCCGGAGCAACUGCAGAACUGAGGAGGAGGCAGAUGAUUGAAAGCACAAGAACAAAUUUUGCGUGUUGCAUCUAUUGUUUCUAUUCAACGUUAUCAAGAUUGGAAUUCCCUUAAGACGGGAAAUGGAACGUUCAAACUUAGAAUUAAUUACACUUGCAAGAAUAUUUCUUGUUUAUAAUUUAUUAUUUGAUAGUGUAGGUUUGUGCACACGUCUAAGCUUGCCCGAAUAAAAAAAGAAAAAAAAAGCACACGUAUAUGCCGUCUAACCGUCCAAAUUAAAAAGAAAUCAAGCCUACCAAUCGUCCAAAUUAAAAAAAGAAACCAAGAUAUUUAUAAUCGAAAAACUUCAAUGUCAUGAUUUCAUGAAGUUCUUAUGUGUCAAAGAUAAGAAAAAUAAUUAAUAUUACCAAAUAUCAUAUUUAGGAUUAUUUGAACUCAAGUUGAGAAAACACGAGGGGUGAGCAUAAAUGUGACCACUGAAAAAUCUGCGAAAAAUGCUAGGGCAUUCUCAUAGCCCUUACGUUGUUUAUUUAGCAAGCAAGUAGAGAAAAAUAUAAGCGUGAGAACAAAAACAUGCCAAAAUAAUGAAUUAGACAUGAUAUAUAUACAGCGAGAGUAAGAGGAGUAAUUGAAACAUCUGUGAAAUAAUGAGUUGACCAAAUAGGAUUGGACUACUGAUGGCUUUAGAAUUCUCAUUGGGAUCAGAGCAUAGGAGACAUGUUGGAGUAGUACUCCUCAUCAUAGUUGGACAAUGAUGAACUCGUACCAGAUUGGGGAUCAUUGAGAUGAAGUAGGAUAGUCCUAUAAGACGACAUGAAAUCGGGGUCCUUGACCCCAAGCUGAAGGCGUCCACCUCGAGGAUCAAGACAAAACCAGAAAUUGCAAUGCGUGUGUGGUCAAGACUAAGGUAUUCUAGUGGCCCUAUAAACUUGAGGCCAGGCUCGGGGUCAAGUGCCUUACAGCGAGUCGUUGGACGUGUAAGCAACACACACACGUACAACGGUCAAAUUAUUUGAAGAGAAGUGCAUUGUCACUUAGGAAUCAUGUAGUGUCAUAUAGUAAGGAGGCAUAAGGCUUGCGCCAUUGUGUUUAAACCUUGUAAAUACCCCGUCCCCAUUUUUAAUUUCCACCAAACCUUGAGAAGCAAAGAGCUCGAGCACUGAACCUAAGCUAAGAUCUUAGGCUCAUUUUUUAUUUAUUUCACAUAAGGCAUAUAGGUAAAGAUGAGGAGAGUAAAAUAACGAGGGUAGAAAGGUAGAGGUUAGCAACAGCCUUCGAGGCCUUGGACUCUAUUGAUGAGAGUAUAGAGAAGCUCAAGGUAAAUGACCAAAAAUGGAGAUGAGAUCAAGGACCCCGAAGUGAGCAAACAAGGAGGGGACGAGGAGAGGGAUGAGGUUGAGGUGUUGGAAUAUCAUGAAACUUUAAAUCUUAAUAACAUGAAAAGCUAAUUACUUAUUGCCAAGAUCCUCCAUGUUAAAUCUCCAAGAGCAUUAUAAAGUGCAAAACAUACCUUAAUUCAUUGGGAAUGUUUAUUUGAUACUGGAUCUUGAAUAUUGACUUUUUAGACUCUUGAGUUCUUGAUCUUGAUUUUACUUCUUGAUCCAUAUUCUUGAUUGUUGAAUUUCUUCUUCUUAAUUUUUUAUUGUGGAUCGCAUGUUUUUGAUUAUGGAUUUCGAAUCUUCUUCUUCAAUAUACUUUCUCUUCUAUUAUUGUAUUGAUGGGAUGACACAAAAAAUGAGAAGUUGUUGAAUUGAGAAACAUGAUCCUAUAUAUAGUUUUCAUAUUCAUUUUGCUCAUGAUGAAGUGCAAUUUUAAAGGAAUCCGCCUCUAUAUAUAUAUAAUUCGGCCCACACUUUGUUUAGAUGCUCUAGCCCAAAAAUUUAAUUUUUUACUAGAUCACUUGAAUUAUGGGUUUAACUUUAAGAUGACCUAUACACAAUUAAUUAUAUAUGUAGGCCCACAUGAAAAAUUAAAAUUUUCUCAAUAAUCUCUCACUUGGGCCACAUAUGUUACUUGAUAAAUUUGUAUAACCUUAUGACAUCAAAACUUUUGCUAUUAUAACCAAAAGCAUCUCCGAACAAUCUCAUCCAUCAAUUAUGUCAAAUAGGAUCAAUUUACAAGUUAACUACUUGGACUUAUUGACUAACAAUAGGCUAAAGAAUAGGAAAAUGAAUAAAAAACAAGUUAACUACUUGGAUUUAUUCACUAACAAAUCAAAACAAAUAAACAACUUAGAAACCAAUUCGACUAAGAUCCAGCAUGUGUGUGACCCUUAAAAUUAUUUGCACGGCUUCUUGUGUAGUGGCAUGUAUCAAUUUUGUUUGUCUAUAGCUAGUGUGGAGAAUUUAUUUUUGUUCAUACACGUUGAUAUUAGGGAUUUCACAAGGACAGAAUGCACAAAUAGAGAGUUCCUAACAUUAUUCUAUCAAUAUAAUGCAAGUGUUAUGCCCUAAGUCCAAUCAACCUUGGACAUAAAUACUUUUACUAUAUAAGUAAUGUAAUUUAAUGACAGAUCUAUUAUUUAAUUAAUAGACAAUUAAAUAAAAUAAUAGAGUCUGUAGAUUCAAAUCUUUGUAAUUUGUUAAUCACAAUGAGUUAUGAUUGUGAGAUACAAAUUACAUAUAAUUGAAUUUUAAAUCGUUUGUGAUCAUAACUAAUAAUGAGAUAUUGAUAUCAUUAUUACGGAUAGACCAUCACGUGUGACAUUCUUACUUAUGAAGUAAGUAGCUGAUCUCACAAGUUAAAGUGUGGUGACACUUAAAUGAACACGUGAAUAUUUUGUUAUAGAACAAAACAUUGGAGACCCGUCUAGAGAUUCCAUAUGAAUAACUAUUUGAGUGUCAGUGGUUAGUCUCUAACGUUCGGUAGUGGGAUUGGUCAUUUGACUUGAAGUCGUUAUAGUACCUUAUAUGAGGAUAGUCAUGCUUUGACGGUGUUGGAUGUUGCUCUGUCAAGAGCCAUUAAUACGGCAUCGUUCGGGUAUGUCAAGAAUCGUAUGAAGGUUGUGAAUGACCAAUAGAGGAUUCAUCACUUUUAGAUAGUAAGAGAUUAUGAUCUACAUUUCAUUCAAUUAAGUCGAUAACGAAAUCCUUGACCAAUGUGAUAUUGAAUUAAUAGUGGAGUGAAAGAUAUGAUUGAUAAUUGAGGUUGACACACUUCUAUAUUUCGUAAUUAAUCAGAUCAUAUUGACGAAUGGAUAAUAGUUUCACGGUAAACGAACGAGUUUGAUUUUGUCAAACCACGUGAUAUUUUUCGUCACAUGUAUUGCCCUAACACAUUGUUAGAUGUCAAUCUGGGACGGCGAGUAUGAAUUGGUGAUAAAUUAAAAGAGUGUUUUAAUUUAUCAAUUUUGAUUAGAUCAAAAUAAUAUUUCACGUCGUUAGGCAUCGUGAUCAGGAAUCUGAUGGGUCGCACAAAAAAGGAGAUCUGGAAGAUUGUGAUUUGUCAAUUAAUUAACUUAACAAGUGUUGAAUAAAUUAAUUAAUUGGGUUGCUUAUUUAUAGGUCUGAAUUGAUUAAUUGGAUUAAUUAAUUCACGAAUCAGAUUUAAUCAAAUGAGUUAAUUAAAUGUUGGAUCGGGUCAGGCCAAGCUCGUUUGAGCUUAUAUAUAUAUAUAUAUAUAUAUAUAUAUAUAUAUGUAUAUAUAUAUAUAUAUACAUGUAUAUAUAUGUAUAUAUAUAUAUAUGUAUGUAUAUAUAUAUAUAUGUAUAUAUAUAUGUAUAUAUAUGUAUAUAUAUGUAUAUACAUGUAUAUACAUGUAUAUAUAUAUAUAUAUAUGUAUAUACAUAUGUAUAUAGAUGUAUAUGUAUGUAUAUACAUAUAUAUACAUGUAUAUACAUGUAUAUAUAUGUAUAUACAUAUAUAUACAUCUAUAUACAUAUAUAUAUAUAUAUAUGUAUGUAUAUACAUAUAUAUAUAUGUAUAUACAUAUAUAUACAUGUAUAUAUUAGGGUUUUCAAAAUUGAAGUGAUUUUCGUUAUUCUUACUAGCACAAGAAAAAUUUCAAUACUACAAUCUUGUUCUCUGUGUGAAUCACCAUUGGAGAUUGGACAGUUGUGGGUGACAGAUCAAAGCUGCUGGAACAAGGAAAAAGCAAUGGAAUUUGUAGAUCUCGUAAAAUAUACAAUCUUUAUCACAGUUUUCUAUCUAAACAUAAAGACGAUUUUUGGUGGGAAUCGAAAAUUGUUUUAAAUUUUCCCUUCACACGUUAAGUAGAUUCUCAAUAGUGGUAUCAUAGUCUAUUUUGUGUUUGUUAGAAAUUGUUUUGCAUUAGUGAAUAGUCAAAAUUUGAUUGUUCAUACUUUUCUUGGAUCUAGCAAUUUAGAAAGUGAUGUUUCAUAUUCAAAAUCCGACUUUGAAAAAGAAAAUGGAUUUUUGGAAGAAGAAAGGAGGGGGGGGGGNUCUGAAUAUUUCCAGUAGCCACCGUCGACACUAGUGGCACAAAAGUGCUCGACAGUGUCGAGCACCUCUACUAUUGUAGCAGCAGUACCGACUGUCGGCGCUGUUGAUUGUGGCAGCGUGCGACGCUGCUGUUUCAGCAACGUCGCGCGCUGCUGUAUGACAACUGCUUGUAGCUGCUGCCUUAGUAACAGACUGUAUGACAGUGGCGACGAUCCGCUGCCAUAUCCAAAAGUUAUUCAUUUUUAUUAUUAUAUAUAUUUUUAGUCGGGUGAAAGGUUGGUUGGAGGCGAGGCUUCUACUGCAAUUAGCAUAAUUACGAGGGCCCGCCUGCAAUUAUAUUAUGGAUGGGGUCAAUUGUACAUAAAAGGGGACCCUUUUAUAAUUUGGGAUAUUGAAGGGCCCGUUAUGCUAUUUGCCGAAUUGGGAGGCCUCAUUUAUAAUUUUUAUAUUGGGUCAAAAUGCAAUUUGUUUUUGAAAGGGAUUUAAAUGCAAUUUUGAAAAGGUUUUAUGAACUAUUUUAAUGUUAAGAACAAUGGUUGUCCAUGCCUAUCUUGAUUAAAGAUCUUAAUGGUUGUGGUAAACUAUAAUAUAACAUUUAUAUUCUAAAUACUAAGCAUUCUAUAAUGAGUAUAGAAGUUAAGAGACAGAAAAGUGAUAAUUUGAAUAUUACCUAAAUCUACCAUGGGAGACUUUGUUAUAUAGAUGAAAUGCAAUUCCAAAGUUACAAAGAGAUGUAUACUUGGUGUCAAUUGAUUUUGACAAGUACGAAUUGUGCAUGUCUGACAUAAUGACCAAAUCUCUUUUUACUUGAAAAUGAGAAAGGUUUGCAUAAUUACUGGUCUAAUGCAUACUGUCGCGUAUGGACCCAUGUCAAAUUAUGUCAGGUGAAGUUUCUCUUAUUUCAUCAAAAUUACUAAUGACUAUUACAGAAAUAGUCAUAUAUGCUUGAUGAAAUCCAAGCGUGAAACUCUUGAAAGGUUCAAGGGAUUCAAACUUAAAGUAAAGAAACAAAUAGGUAGAGAUAUUCUCACAUCAAGAUCUGAUUGAGAUGAGAAUAUCUUAAAGAAUGAAAUUUUAGAUUAUCUGAAAGAGAAUGAGAUUUUCUUGUAGUGGACUCCUACAUAUACACUGUACCAGUGGUGUAUCGAAAAAGAUGAAUCAUUAACUAUUAGAUAUAGUGCGAUUAAAAACAAGCCAUGUAAAUUUCUCAAAAUCGUUUUGGGGUCAUGCACUAAUUGCAAUGUGUUACACACUAAAUCAUGUCACAUCUAAGUUGGUUAACACAAUUCCGUACGAGCUAUGGAAAGGCAAUAGUCCAAACUUAUCUCAUAUGAAAGUUUGGGACUCUAACGUUUAUUUGAAGUGCAUUGAAUCGGAUAAACUAGAGUAUAUAUAUUCGAUGAAUACAUAUUUGUGGGAUAUCCAAAACAAAUAUUUGGAUAUCAGUUCUAUUAUUCCAUUGAGAAGAAAGUCUUUGUCUCACGAUACGUCAUCUUCUUAGAGAAAAUAUUUACUCUAGGAGAGGAUAAUAGAGCAAAAUAGAACUUGAAAGAGUUCAAGAGUCCACAGACAUAGUUAACCAAGUAGAUGAAUUCGAGUUUGAUCCCAUAUCCGAUGUGGGGCAUACUCUUGAUCAAGAAGUAGAGACUUCUCAGGACAUGUUAGCUUUGUGUGAAUCCAGUAGGAUCAUUCGAUCUCCAAGAAUGUGCAAACCCAUGAUUACUAAACAUGUAUUAUUGAUCGAAGGUGAUGAACCUACUAAUUAUGCAGAAGCAGAGUCAAGUAUUGACUCAAGCAGAUGUCAGGAGGUCAUGAAAUUCAAAAUGAACUCAAUGUAUGAAAAAUAAGGUUUGAACCUUGGUCGACCCUCUUGAUGGAAUAAAACUCAUAUUUCAUAAAUAGUUUAUGAGAAAAAUGUCGAUGUGAACCGAAAUAUCCAUACCUACAAAGAAAGGCUAGUAACAACGGUCAAAUAUUGAUCUUGGUGAAACCUUUCUCUUGUAGCUUUGCUGAAAUCCAUUCAGAUUUUGGUUGCAACAGUUGCAUACCGUGACUAUGGGUUAAAACAUGUCUCUUAGAGUUGAAAUCUUCGGUUUGAUGGAAAAGUCAAAAUGUUUGAUUUUAUCAAAUUUGAAGACGAAUUGUAUGUUUGCAAAAAGAUAGUGGGAGCAUUAUCACAUUCCUGAUAUUAUAAGAAACGACAUCCAUAUGUUUCAAUCGUUGAAAUAAUGGUCGUUAUGUGAAACAAUCGUUGGUUUAAUAGCAAAAAUCUAAUACAUGAUUGCUUCAGAAGCUGCAAAAAGUGGCAAUGUUGAUUGAUCACAUGUUAUCGUAUUGUGCUAACAAUAGAGCUAUCGCGUAAGCGAAGGAAUUAAGGUCUCAUUUAUGAUCCAAACAUAUAUUAAUGCGACAUAAUCUCAUCAGAGAGAUAAUACAUGAAAAUGACUAAAGAGAAGAACGAAUUUCCACAUUUGACAAUAUUACAAAUCCACUGAGAAAGAGUUGUCGUAGCAUAAAAAUAGAUCAUCAUGUAGAUUUUUAUGAUAUUGGAUAUAUAAGUGAUUGAAUCUAGUGCAAGUAAGAGUUUGUAAGUGUUAUGCUCUAGGUCCAAUCAACCUUGGACAUAAAUACUUUUAAUAUAUAAUUAAUGCAAUUUAAUGACAAAUCUAUUAUUUAAUUAAUAGACAAUUAAAUUAAAUAAUAGAGUACGUAAAUUCAAAUCUUCGUAAUUUGUUAAUCACAAGGAGUUGUGAUUGUGAGAUACAAAUUACAUAUGAUUGAAUCUUAAAUCAUUCGCGGUCGUAAGUAAUAAUGAGAUACGGAUAUCGUUAUUACGGAUAAACCAUCAUGUGUGACAUUUCUUACUUGUGAACUAAGUAGCUGAUUUCACAAGCUAAAAUGUGGUACACUUGAAUGAACACGUGGAUGUUUUGUUAUAGAACAAAGCAUUGGAGGCCCGCCUAGAGAUUCCACAUGGAUAAUUAUCUGAGUGUCAGUGGUUAAUCUUUAACGUUCGGUAGUGAGAUUGGUCCUUUGACUUGAGGUUGUUAUAGUAUCUUAUAUGAGGACAAUCAUACUUUGAUGGUGUUGGAUGGUGUUGGAUGUUACUCUGCCAAGGGCCGCUAAUACGACAUCGUUCAGGUAUGUCAAAAAUCAUAUGAAGGUUAUGAAUGACCAAUAGAUGAUUCGUCACUCUUAGAUAGUGAGAGAUUAUGAUCUGCAUUUCAUUCAAUUAAGUCGAUAACGAAAUUCUUGGCCAAGAUGAUAUUGACUUAAUAGUGGAGUGAAAGAUAUGAUCGAUAAUCGAGAUUGACACACUUUCAUAUCUUGUAAUUGAUCGGAUCAUAUUGACGAAGGGAUAAUAAUUUCACGGUAAACGAAAAAGUUUGGUUUUGUUAUACCACGUGACAUUUUUCGUCACAUGUAUUGUUCUGACAUAUUGCUAGAUGUCAAUCUGGGACGGCGAGUGUGAAUUGGCGAUAAAUUAAAAGGGUGUUUUAAUUUAUAGUUUUGAUUAUAUCAAAAUAAUAUUUCACGUAAUUAGACAUUGUGAUCGGGAACCUGAUAGGUCGCACACAAAAGGAGAAUUGGAAGAUUAUGAUUUGUCAAUUAAUUAAUUUAACAAGUGUUGGAUAAAUUGAUUAAUUGGGUUGCUUAUUUAUAGGCCUGAAUUGAUUGAUUGGAUUAAUUAAUUCACGGACCGAAUUUAAUUAAAUGGGUUAAUUAAAUGUUGAACCGGAUCAGGCCAAACCCGUUUGGGCUUAUAUAUAUAUAUUUCAAAAUUGAAGUGAUUUUCAGUAUUCUUGCUAGCACAAGAAAAUCCCUAAUACUACAAUUUUGUUCUAUGUGUGGAUCACUGUUGGAGAUUGGACAAUUAUGAGUGGCAAAUCAAAGCUUCUGGAACAAGGAAAAAAGCAAAGGAAAUUGCAAAUCUCGUAAACGGUACAAUCUUUACAAUUUCUAUCUAAACACAAAGACGAUUUUUUGUGGAAAUUGAAAAUUAUUUUAAAUUUUCGCUGCGCACGUUAAGUAGAUUCUCAACAUAUAAUACCUACUAAAUUCCUGUGUCCGAGAAAAUUCUUAUACCUUUCUCUCUGCAAUAUGCAAACCUCAAAUUCAGGCUUUCCUAUAAUAUGCUAACCUCCAAUUGAGGUUGGUCAAAAAUUUGAUGUGGUGGGAUUUGGGGACUAGUUUUGUUGAUGGUAUUUCGAUUUGUAUGGUGGCGACUGCCUUUGGAUGGCAGUGCUGGCAUUGUGUGGGUGGUUGUGGCGACCGAUUGUUGGGCGAUGGUGCUGACCAUUGAUGUGGUGGGAGUGGGAAAGUAGAAGGUGCUAAUCACUGGCCUUUCCAUUUUUCAUGUGGNNNNGUAGAUUUCUUCUUCUUCUUCUUCCUUUUUCUUUUUCAUUUUUUGUUUUUUGUUUUUGUUUUUUUUUUUUUUUAUUAAGCAUUUAUUUGGUGAGAUUAAAAUAAGAUUUUUAGUAAAUUUUGAUAAAAGUUAAUAAAAUGUAUGGUUGAAAAAUUAAGAAUCCUAUAAAAUGCGUGGUUAAUAUUAAUUAUUAACUUUGAAUUAGAUUAAAAUCUUGAUUUUUAAUUGCUAUGAAACAAGGGCUUGGUUAUUUUAUGUUAAAAAUGUAAGGUUAUAAUUUUGUUCUUCUAAAAUUAGUAAAAUUGUGGUCAAGAUCGAUUCUUUGGUCAACGAAUGGUCAUUUGGACCACUGCUGCUAAGUUCUCGAAGUUUUGAGACCUCCGCUGAUAAAAUUAAAGGUUAGAGUAAAUUCUACAAAAAAAAAAAAAAAAUGAAAGAUUAGAAAUCGUUGUUGCAAUUUUCCCAAAAUGCAAUGUCGUGUUUUCAUGGAUUUCUUAUCUGUCAAAGAUAAGAAAAAUAAUAAUAGUAGCCGAUCAUUUUAAAAUUUAUUAUUUUUCGAUUUCCAUGUUACUAACGUGGCAUUUAAAAUUUGUCAAAAUGAAUAGAAAUUGAUCUUAACUUUGCUCGAUGUAACAAAAUGGUCUCACAUUUACUUCAUUUUAGAUGAGUUGUACCAUAUAUUUUGAGUUUUCGGCCAGUCGAUGUCUAAUGUUGGUUGUUAGAAAAGAUAACAUAUUUCUUAUUGAAACAGUAGUUUAACCCGCAUUUUAAUUUUAAAAAUAAGAAAGGGAAAAAAUUUCAUAACAUUAUCUUUCCCAACCCAUGAAGAACCAAUAGGAUUCCCUGUAGGUCCCCAUGCCAUUGAUUAAUACAAAAAUGAAAAAAAUUUGAAAGAUGUGAGUGACGAUGUCGAUGAAGAGAUUAAAAGGAAGAAGUUAGAAAUAUUGAUUGGGAAUGUGAGAGACGUUUGCAAAUAAGUUGGGGGUAGACAUGUAGCGAGCGUAAGCUAGGUUGCACGUGAUGAGAAGUAACUAGGGCUGGGGUUUGCUAUUUUUAUCUAUUUUCCCGUUUCUUUUUAUUUUUUCUUUUAAUAAUUUUCCAAUGUGAAUUGAAAUUUUCCAUCCACGGCUAUAUUGUUUGUUGACUUUAAAAUCUUGUAGGAUACAGAUAUCAACAUAUACUGGUUACAUUCUCAUCUACCUGUUUCAGAAUCUGAACAUAAGAAAUCGAAGUUUGAAGCCAUCUAAGAAGGUUGUUAGGCACAUUUUACUCUUUGAUGCUCAAAUUAAUGCAAGUAAAAUAUAUAUAAAAUUAAGUUAUUUGUACUUGUUGACUUACACUUUGAUUUACCCGAUCCUACUCCUCCUCUCACAUGGAGUCGGGUUCCACGUGGAGCACCAACCCCCAUGUGAGAGGAGGAGGUUGGAUCGGGUAACUCAAAGUGUAAAAUGACAUGUACAAAUAGUAUGACUCAUAUAUAUAAGUUCAAGAAAAACAAAGUGGACAAAGAAUUUGCAAGAGGUUUGAUUGAUUGAUUUUUUAUAUACCUUUUCUUUUAUGUUCCAUGGAAUUUCAAUAGGAAAAACUAGUUUAAAGGAAAAUUGGGCCUUUAUUGAACACUCACCCCUCCAAAACAACACGUGUCGCUUUCUAAUUGGUGAAGACUUUUGAUUUGGGUACUUUGUCAUCUUUUGAUUAAUGGGGAGGUCUUGAUUCUUGUUUGAUUUUGUUUUACACUUUUUAAUGGUUUUAGUCAACUUGGUAGUCAUCAUCUUGCCACAAGAAAAGCUUCAGUCCCUCGUCAUCUUUUAGUACGUUUGUUGAACCCCCACCCAAAAAUAAAAGGGAAAAAAGAAAAAAAAGAAAAAAAAGAAAAAGAAAACACGUAUUGCCAUCUAAUUGGUAAGGACUUUGAUUUUAGCACCUCGUCAUCUAUUGAUUAAUGGCGAGGUCAUUAUCAAGCAACUGAUUCUUGUUUGAUUUUUUUUUUUUAUACUCUCUAAUGGUUUUAGCCUACUUGGUAGUUAUCCUCUUGCCACAUAGAAAAGCUUCCAUACAACAGUUCUAUAUGUAGAUAUGGUGUGAUCAUCCAUUUUAAAUCACGACGUCUAGAAUUGUGAGCCAUGCAAAAGGUAAUACCUUGACAUUCGAGAUUGUAAGAUAGAAAUAAAGUGAGUGUGUGAUGUCGAUGUGUCAAAUUUUGAAUGACACAAAUUUCAAAGUAUUGUAUUUGAGUGGACGAUCUUACAACAUGUGCAUAUAGGAUUGCCCUACUAAAUCUUCUCUCCUUUCCAUAUGACAAAGGAAUAAUCUGCAAUUCCUUUAUUUAAACAAGCAAAGUGGGUUGUGAGCAUAAACAAAUUCACUUGCUUGCGUCAAAGUAAAUAUACAUUUUGAUCUGAGAGGAAAAAUAUCAAAAAUGUAAUUAUUCAGAUAACUAAUGUAUAAACAUUACAAAUUGAUUUUUUUAGCAUUUAGUUAAUUCAAUUGUCAAGGCUAGAAUAAAAUUUACAAUCUGAGAUCUCAAAAUGAAAUACGAAGAGUUCAACAUGCAGGUUUUUAUUAUUCCAAUCAAAAAGUAACACAAAAAUUAUGCCGGACUAUGCUACACUAACCUAUGGCUUGACAGAGGCCAUGACAAAUCAAGGGGGGAAAUUAUUUUUUUAUUUGUGUGGGAUCCACAGCAUGUGAGACAAUGUCAUCCCUUCUGUUAGAAUUUUUCGGGCAUUCCAGCAUUUUCCAAUUAUGCCAACCCAAUUGCACCUCUCAUUAAAUGAAAAAUAAAUCAUCUUCCAAUCAAUAUUUAACACACGAAUACAAAUUUAUUACUUGUCUUGCAUUUUUGUACAUAACCAAGUGAUCAAUUAAAGUGGCGGGGCAAAUGAAAAAAUGAAGCGUAAGCCAAAUAUAACAUAACUAAACGCCGCCAUACAAAAGAGAUGAAGGGGCUGCUGUUUAUGAGGCGCACCGCAUUGGGUACACCACUGGUUUGACCACCGUUGCAGGUUACCGUACCUCCACCACCACUGCCGCCUCCUCCAUCGCUGGAGCAACUGUAGAACUGAGGAAGAGGCAGAUGAUUGAAAGCACAAGAACUAAUUUUGCGUGCUACAUCUAUUGUUUCUAUUCAGCAAUACCAAGAUUGGAAUUCCCUUAAGAUGGGAAAUGGAACGUUCAAGCUUAGAAUUAAUUACACUUGCAAGAAUAUUCUUGUUUAUAUUUUAUUAUUUUCA